CUCCCAGCCCGGCCGGUAUUGGGCCACAAUCCGCGUGGUUACACAGGUGUUGGGUCCCCGGGGGUUAAACACCGGCCCACGUCUAAAACGCGUUCGGUUAAACCGCGCCGGUUUUCUACACCGUCGGGUUUUGCCCCAAACCUCUCCAUUCGACCGGUUUUUAGAAACACGAGGGUCGACCCGUGGAUUUCAUCCCGAGCGACGCGAGCGAUACGAGCUUCCACGACACAGCGACAACGGCGGCGGCGGCGGCGGCUUGACCGGAGGGGACGGUGGCCGGCUGGACGAGAGCAACUCCACCACACACGCUUCCCUUCCUCGACGCUGAAGCCGCCACGGAGGCCGACCGAGGAUCUCCGGCAUCUCCUUCUUCCCCGCCUCCGGCAUCUCCUUCUUCCCCGCCUCCGGCGCCGGCCUGCAGAAGGUACAUGAUAGAGGGAAAAGAGCUAGAGUUCUACAUGAAGAAGCUCCAGAAAAAGAUGGACAUUGGAUCAGUUUCUGUGUCUUUACUGCGGAGAAGCAAAAUAUUUAUUUGCUGGAUUUUGUUGUUUUUCCUCUUAAAAUUCGGAUGGAUCCAAAAGACUGUUGAUCUUUUUUACUAUCAACUAUUUAAGUACAACUACGUAGUAUUAAAAUCAUAUUGUUCUUGCGUAGUUAAAGUUGGUGCCUUGUUUUCUUCUGUUUGUAGUAUUAAAAUCAUAUUGUUCUUGCGUAGUAUUAAAAUCAUAUUGUUUGCGUAGUUAAUUUGUGAAGAAUUGUAAUUGUAUGGGCUUUUUUUUAUAAAAUUACAUCUGUACAGAUUGCUACUAUUCAACACUAGCGGCCAGUUCACGU
This is a long non-coding RNA of Lolium perenne, 834 nucleotides long. RefSeq lists it as uncharacterized. The record is from RefSeq and is a predicted model, not a curated record. Lineage: Eukaryota; Viridiplantae; Streptophyta; Magnoliopsida; Poales; Poaceae.